This 405-nucleotide ribosomal RNA is filed under the name uncultured bacterium. Its description in RNAcentral is "partial 16S ribosomal RNA". It matches the Rfam family "Bacterial small subunit ribosomal RNA", at positions 28 to 526 of the family's 1533-position model. The record is from RNAcentral.
GAUGAACGCUGGCGGCGUGCCUAAUACAUGCAAGUCGAGCGAAGCGGGGACGGGUGAGUAACACGUGGAUAACCUCCUAUAAGACUGGGAUAACUUCGUGAAACCGGAGCUAAACCGGAUACUUAUACCUGGAUCCGGGCUGGAUUAGCUAGUUGGUAAGGUAACGGCUUACCAAGUCCACGAUGCAUAGCCGACCUGAGAGGGUGAUCGGCCACACUGGAACUGAGACACGGUCCAGACUCCUACGGGAGGCAGCAGGAGGGAAUCUUCCGCAAUGGGCGAAAGCCUGACGGAGCAACGCCGCGUGAGUGAUGAAGGUCUUCGGAUCGUAAAACUCUGUUAUUAGGGAGGCGGUACCUAAUCAGAAAGCAACGGCUAACUACGUGCCAGCAGCCGCGGUAAUUC